Molecule: unclassified non-coding RNA, 252 nt
Filed under: Hevea brasiliensis (rubber tree)
Lineage: Eukaryota; Viridiplantae; Streptophyta; Magnoliopsida; Malpighiales; Euphorbiaceae
Source: RNAcentral
AGUCAAAUAAACGUUCAGGCAGCACCCUAAAAGGACAGGUCAAAUUGGAGUAACCUGUACCCUCUGUUGAGUCAAUCUAAAAGAAUCCUCAACAACCCAUAACAGCACAAUUGUAAACAAACACACCAACAUGCUCCUUCACACCGAGAAUCUUCCAAUCCAAAGUUCCAUUAUUGACUCCAGAUUUUGGACACCAAGAGUUAAGCACAACAGCUUCACCUUCUGGGCCCCUUUGCCCACCCACAACUAGAA